RNAcentral lists this ribosomal RNA (491 nucleotides) under uncultured bacterium. RNAcentral describes it as "partial 16S ribosomal RNA". It matches the Rfam family "Bacterial small subunit ribosomal RNA", at positions 28 to 507 of the family's 1533-position model. The record is from RNAcentral.
GAUGAACGCUGGCUACAGGCUUAACACAUGCAAGUCGAGGGGAAACGACGGGGAAGCUUGCUUCCCCGGGCGUCGACCGGCGCACGGGUGAGUAACGCGUAUCCAACCUGCCUCUGACUGAGGGAUAACCCGUCGAAAGUCGGCCUAAUACAUCAUGGCAUCGUCUGCGGGCAUCCAACGACGAUUAAAGAUUUCAUCGGUUAGAGAUGGGGAUGCGUCUGAUUAGCUUGUUGGCGGGGUAACGUCCCACCAAGGCGACGAUCAGUAGGGGUUCUGAGAGGAAGGUACCCCACAUUGGAACUGAGACACGGUCCAAACUCCUACGGGAGGCAGCAGUGAGGAAUAUUGGUCAAUGGGCGAGAGCCUGAACCAGCCAAGUAGCGUGCAGGAUGACGGCCCUAUGGGUUGUAAACUGCUUUUAUGCGGGGAUAAAGUGAGGGACGUGUCCUUCAUUGCAGGUACCGCAUGAAUAAGGACCGGCUAAUUCCGUG